AGCAGCAUGGCGCAGAUGGAAGCGCGCGGGGCCCAUAUAAUUAUGUAAGCGAUUGCGUAAUGAGUUACCCCGAGGUCACUCGAUCGAAACGAGUUGCUGCUA
Mycena metata is the source of this 102-nucleotide non-coding RNA. The record is from the annotation of a GenBank genome assembly. Lineage: Eukaryota; Fungi; Basidiomycota; Agaricomycetes; Agaricales; Mycenaceae.